UAUGCCUUAGUAUUUUAUGUACGAGAAUUUUUGAUAUUUUAAGGGGGAGAUAAGCGCUCUCAGGUAUAU
RNAcentral lists this transfer RNA (69 nucleotides) under Phloeosinus perlatus. RNAcentral describes it as "tRNA-Gln". Lineage: Eukaryota; Metazoa; Arthropoda; Insecta; Coleoptera; Curculionidae. The record is from RNAcentral.